RNAcentral lists this ribosomal RNA (305 nucleotides) under uncultured bacterium. Its description in RNAcentral is "bacterial SSU rRNA". It matches the Rfam family "Bacterial small subunit ribosomal RNA", at positions 334 to 636 of the family's 1533-position model. The record is from RNAcentral.
CUACCCUACGGGGCGCAGCAGUGAGGAAUAUUGGUCAAUGGGCGAGAGCCUGAACCAGCCAAGUCGCGUGAGGGAAGACGGUCCUAUGGAUUGUAAACCUCUUUUGUCGGGGAGCAAAAAGACUACGUGUAGUCCCAAGCGAGAGUACCCGAAGAAAAAGCAUCGGCUAACUCCGUGCCAGCAGCCGCGGUAAUACGGAGGAUGCGAGCGUUAUCCGGAUUUAUUGGGUUUAAAGGGUGCGUAGGCGGAAUGCCAAGUCAGCGGUAACAUCGCGGGGCUCAACCUCGCUCCUCCGUUGAAACUGG